This is a non-coding RNA of Triticum aestivum (bread wheat), 115 nucleotides long. The record is from Rfam. NCBI's taxonomy places the organism in Eukaryota, Viridiplantae, Streptophyta, Magnoliopsida, Poales, Poaceae.
AAUAUAGUCCCUCUGUCCGAAUUACUUGUCACAGAAAUGGAUGUAUCUAGAACUAAAAAUAUAUCUAGAUACAUCCAUUUCCGCGACAAGUAAUUCCGGACGGAGGGAGUAGGUC